ACGUAAGUUACUGAUGGUCCUUAUACUUGGAUAUCCGUGGUAAUUCUAGAGCUAAUACAUGCGCACAUACCCAACUUUUGGGAAGGGUGGUUUUUUUUAAAAAAUUAACCCCCCCGGGCCCGCCCUGGUACGAUGUGAAUGAAGGGUACCGAACGAAUCGCUUGCUCCGACGCGAUAAAUCAAUUGAGUUUGAGACCUAUCCUCUUUAGAAGGGAGGAUAUGGGCCCACCGUGGCUUUUACGGGUAACAGAAAAUUAGGGUUUUAUUCCAGAGAGGGACCCCGAAAAACCGCCCCCACCUCCAAAGGAGGGAGCGGGCGCGCAUUUUACCCCCUCCUGACACAGGGGGGGUGUGACAAAAAAUAACAAUGAGGGGCUUUUUU
Molecule: ribosomal RNA, 382 nt
Filed under: uncultured marine picoeukaryote
Lineage: Eukaryota
Description: partial 18S ribosomal RNA
Rfam family: Eukaryotic small subunit ribosomal RNA
Source: RNAcentral